GGUGAGUAAUGCAUCGGAACGUACCUUUCAGUGGGGGAUAACGUAGCGAAAGUUACGCUAAUACCGCAUAUUCUGUGAGCAGGAAAGCAGGGGAUCGCAAGACCUUGCGCUGAUGGAGCGGCCGAUGUCAGAUUAGCUAGUUGGUGGGGUAAAGGCUCACCAAGGCGACGAUCUGUAGCGGGUCUUAGAGGAUGAUCCGCCACACUGGAACUGAGACACGGUCCAGACUCCUACGGGAGGCAGCAGUGGGGAAUUUUGGACAAUGGGCGCAAGCCUGAUCCAGCCAUGCCGCGUGAGUGAAGAAGGCCUUCGGGUUGUAAAGCUCUUUCGGCCGGGAAAAAAUCGCUUGGGUUAAUACCCUGAGUGGAUGAUGGUACCGGAAUAAGAAGCACCGGCUAACUACGUGCCAGCAGCCGCGGUAAUACGUAGGGUGCGAGCGUUAAUCGGAAUUACUGGGCGUAAAGCGUGCGCAGGCGGUUUUGUAAGACAGGCGUGAAAUCCCCGGGCUCAACCUGGGAACUGCGUUUGUGACUGCAAGGCUAGAGUAUGGCAGAGGGGGGUGGAAUUCCACGUGUAGCAGUGAAAUGCGUAGAGAUGUGGAGGAACACCAGUGGCGAAGGCAGCCCCCUGGGCCAAUACUGACGCUCGUGCACGAAAGCGUGGGGAGCAAACAGGAUUAGAUACCCUGGUAGUCCACGCCCUAAACGAUGUCAACUAGGUGUUGGGUGGGUAAAACCAUUUGGUACCGUAGCUAACGCGUGAAGUUGACCGCCUGGGGAGUACGGCCGCAAGGUUAAAACUCAAAGGAAUUGACGGGGACCCGCACAAGCGGUGGAUGAUGUGGAUUAAUUCGAUGCAACGCGAAGAACGUUACCUACCCUUGACAUGCCAGGAACUUGCCAGAGAUGGCUUGGUGCCCGAAAGGGAGCCUGGACACAGGUGCUGCAUGGCUGUCGUCAGCUCGUGUCGUGAGAUGUUGGGUUAAGUCCCGCAACGAGCGCAACCCUUGUCGUUAAUUGCCAUCAUUUAGUUGGGCACUUUAACGAGACUGCCGGUGACAAACCGGAGGAAGGUGGGGAUGACGUCAAGUCCUCAUGGCCCUUAUGGGUAGGGCUUCACACGUCAUACAAUGGUCGGUACAAAGGGUUGCCAAGCCGCGAGGCGGAGCCAAUCCCAGAAAGCCGAUCGUAGUCCGGAUCGCAGGCUGCAACUCGCCUGCGUGAAGUCGGAAUCGCUAGUAAUCGUGGAUCAGCAUGUCACGGUGAAUACGUUCCCGGGUCUUGUACACACCGCCCGUCACACCAUGGGAGCGGGUUCCGCCAGAAGUAGGUAGCCUAACCGCAAGGGGGGCGCUUACCACGGCGGGGUUCGUGACUGGGGUGAAGUCGUAACAAGGUA
RNAcentral lists this ribosomal RNA (1398 nucleotides) under metagenome. Its description in RNAcentral is "bacterial SSU rRNA". It matches the Rfam family "Bacterial small subunit ribosomal RNA". The record is from RNAcentral.